GCUGGGUAUGGUGGCGCAUGCCUAUAAUCCCAGCAGCUCACGAGGCUGAGGCAGGAGGUUUGCAAGUUCAAAGCCAGCCUCAGCCACUUAGCAAGACCCUGUGUCAA
RNAcentral lists this small RNA (107 nucleotides) under Marmota monax (woodchuck). The record is from RNAcentral. Lineage: Eukaryota; Metazoa; Chordata; Mammalia; Rodentia; Sciuridae.